UGAGACUCUGUGCGCGUGCAUAUCAAUAAGCGGAGGAAAAGAAACUAACAAGGAUUCCCCUAGUAACGGCGAGUGAAGCGGGUAAGAGCUCAAAUUUGGAAUCUUAAAGGGUUUCCCUUUACGAAUUGUAGUUUAAAGAAGUGGUUUCUGUUGGAGUUUCGGUAAAAGUUCUUUGGAAUAGGACAUCAUAGAGGGUGAGAAUCCCGUAUUUGACCGUUACUUUCCAGCUGUGUGAUACACUUUCAAAGAGUCGGAUUGUUUGGGAAUGCAGUCCAAGAUGGGUGGUAAAUUUCAUCUAAAGCUAAAUAUUGGCGAGAGACCGAUAGCGAACAAGUACCGUGAGGGAAAGAUGAAAAGAACUUUGAAAAGAGAGUUAAACAGUACGUGAAAUUGUCAAAAGGGAAGCGUUUGACACCAGUGUUGUUUAGUUGAAAAUCAAUUCAAUAAUUUUUGAUUCUAAGUAGUAUUGACUUCAGUCAGCUUGCUGCUUUCUUCUCAGGAAAUUAUUGAAUGCACUUUUCAGUUAACAAGUCAACAUCAAUUUCUUUUGUUGUAAAAGGGUAAGAGGAAGGUGGCUUGCGCUUCGGCUCAAGUGUUUAUAGCCUUUUAUCUCUGCAAUCGGAGAGAUUGAGAGUCUGCAGCGUAGAUCCUUCGGGGUUAGAUACAUUGGUGCUAAGCUAUAGCCUUGUAUAGACAACUUGUUGACUAUGCUCAGUCAUGUAGCUUACUCGCUGAUGCUAUUUUACCUACGCUUAGGAUGUUGACAGCAGUAUAGACUGU
This 780-nucleotide ribosomal RNA is filed under the name uncultured Neocallimastigales. RNAcentral's name for it is "partial large subunit ribosomal RNA". It matches the Rfam family "Eukaryotic large subunit ribosomal RNA", at positions 23 to 638 of the family's 3401-position model. Lineage: Eukaryota; Fungi; Neocallimastigomycota; Neocallimastigomycetes; Neocallimastigales. The record is from RNAcentral.